GUCAGGAUGGCUGAGCGGUCUAAGGCGCUGCAGUCAGGUUGCUGUCUGCCCUUGAGGUGAGGGUUCGAAUCCUUCUGACA
This is a non-coding RNA of Crenichthys baileyi (White River springfish), 80 nucleotides long. The record is from the annotation of a GenBank genome assembly. Lineage: Eukaryota; Metazoa; Chordata; Actinopteri; Cyprinodontiformes; Goodeidae.